UACAGAGGUCUCAAGCGUUGUUCGGAAUUACUGGGCGUAAAGGGUGCGUAGGCUGCGCAGUAAGUCAGGUGUGAAAUCCGGGAGCUCAACUUCCGAAUGGCACCCGAUACUCCUGUGCUAGAGGAUUGGAGAGGAGAGUGGAAUUCUCGGUGUAGCAGUGAAAUGCGUAGAGAUCGAGAGGAACACUAGUGGCGAAGGCUGGGCUCUGGACAAUAUCUGACGCUGAGGCACGAAGGUCAGGGGAGCAAACGGG
Molecule: ribosomal RNA, 253 nt
Filed under: uncultured bacterium
Lineage: Bacteria
Description: partial 16S ribosomal RNA
Rfam family: Bacterial small subunit ribosomal RNA
Source: RNAcentral